UACGUAGGGGGCAAGCGUUGUCCGGAAUCAUUGGGCGUAAAGAGCGUGUAGGCGGCCCGAUAAGUCCGCUGUGAAAGUCCAGGGCUCAACCCUGGAAUGCCGGUGGAUACUGUCGGGCUCGAAUCCGGAAGAGGCGAGUGGAACUCCUGGUGUAGCGGUGGAAUGCGCAGAUAUCAGGAAGAACACCAACGGCGAAGGCAGCUCGCUGGGACGGUACUGACGCUGAGACGCGAAAGCGUGGGGAGCGAACAGG
RNAcentral lists this ribosomal RNA (253 nucleotides) under uncultured bacterium. RNAcentral's name for it is "partial 16S ribosomal RNA". It matches the Rfam family "Bacterial small subunit ribosomal RNA", at positions 524 to 776 of the family's 1533-position model. The record is from RNAcentral.